This is an RNA transcript of Caretta caretta (loggerhead turtle), 1392 nucleotides long. It is a transcript of the gene named D-aminoacyl-tRNA deacylase 1, with no coding region annotated. The record is from RefSeq and is a predicted model, not a curated record. NCBI's taxonomy places the organism in Eukaryota, Metazoa, Chordata, Testudines, Cheloniidae.
GGCCUGGAGGGGGCGGCCGCGGCCGCUGAUUCCCGGAUCCCGGCGCUGUCCGCGCCGCCGCCGCCGCCGAUCCCCGGCCGGGCCUGGCUGCGCCACCGCGGCACCAUGAAGGCGAUAAUCCAGCGGGUCACCCAGGCCAGCGUGACAGUGGGUGGGGAACAAAUAAGUUCCAUUGGACGAGGCAUCUGUGUGUUGCUGGGUAUUUCUUUGGAAGAUACGCACAAAGAGCUGGAACACAUGGUUCGCAAGAUUUUAAACUUGCGUGUGUUUGAAGACGAAAGCGGGAAACACUGGUCUAAAAGCGUGAUGGAUAAACAGUAUGAGGUGCUUUGUGUCAGCCAGUUUACUCUGCAGUGCAUCCUGAAAGGAAACAAACCAGACUAUCACAUGGCUAUGCCUGCAGAGCAAGCAGAGUCUUUCUACAACAACUUCCUAGAACAACUUAAAAAAGCCUACAAACCAGAGCUUAUUAAAGAUGGCAAGUUUGGAGCCUACAUGCAGGUAAACAUCCAGAAUGAUGGUCCUGUGACUAUAGAACUGGAAUCCCCUGCUGCCACGACGGACCCGAAGCAGCUGGCAAAGCUUGAAAAACAGCAGCAAAGGAAAGAGAAGACCAGAACCAAGGCACCCUCUGAAUCAAGUAGAGAAAGAAAUGCCCCUCGUAAUAAGGAGGACCCCAGUGCAAGCAGUGGGGCAGAGGGAGAUGUGUCUUCUGAAAGGGAACCUUGAUCCUCAAAAGCAGGCCUCAGCUGAAGAAUCAGAACCGUGUGUACCUGAAUCCAUUGUCCAGUUUGUCAUACAAAGGCUAUGUUGGAUCCUUAAGAAUUCACAGUUUACGUUAUCCUCAGCGUCGAUCUUAAAAGACUUUGGAAAAGAAAGAGAAGCAGGAAAACAGAACUAAGAAAUUGUGACUCUCCAUCAUUCUGUACUAAAAACAACCAAAGGAAUGUUAUCAGUUUCAGGUAAAAUGUAUUUGUAGUAGUGAAAAUGAUUCACAGCUUUUUUCUGUGUAUCUGCGUUUGUUUUCACAUGGUUAGUGAAUGAAGGGUGACUGUUUUCAUGCCGAUUGUAACAGAACAUAUGAUAACAGAGCACAUGAUCAGUUUCCAAAAAUAAAUUCAAUUUUCCUCAAAUUCUGACUUUAAUUCUGGAGAUAUCUCAAAGCAAGCUUGAAUUUUCAUUUUCGUUGUGUGGUGUCAUGUGCUUCCCGUUUCCAUAGCAAUGUGUAUAUCUGUGUACAUUACCAUAUAUUGUACAAUCUAUGUUUAACACCAGGUUUGGGAGUGCAGUCUUUUUUCAUGUAUCAUUGAUCAUUUAUCGUGAAAUACGUGUGUCUUAUAAAAAUUUUUUUUUAAAAAGAAAACACUUUAUGAAACAAAUUACGCUACCUUA